Molecule: transfer RNA, 78 nt
Filed under: Gammaproteobacteria bacterium
Lineage: Bacteria; Pseudomonadati; Pseudomonadota; Gammaproteobacteria
Also listed under: 2 other names
Description: tRNA-Asp
Rfam family: tRNA
About the family: Transfer RNA (tRNA) molecules are approximately 80 nucleotides in length. Their secondary structure includes four short double-helical elements and three loops (D, anti-codon, and T loops). Further hydrogen bonds mediate the characteristic L-shaped molecular structure. tRNAs have two regions of fundamental functional importance: the anti-codon, which is responsible for specific mRNA codon recognition, and the 3' end, to which the tRNAs corresponding amino acid is attached (by aminoacyl-tRNA synthetases). tRNAs cope with the degeneracy of the genetic code in two manners: having more than one tRNA (with a specific anti-codon) for a particular amino acid; and 'wobble' base-pairing, i.e. permitting non-standard base-pairing at the 3rd anti-codon position.
Source: RNAcentral
GGGGGCGUGGUGAAGUCUGGAGUUCACGCCUGCCUGUCACGCAGGAGGUCGCGGGUUCGAAUCCCGUCGUCCCCGCAA